Molecule: ribosomal RNA, 521 nt
Filed under: uncultured bacterium
Lineage: Bacteria
Description: bacterial SSU rRNA
Rfam family: Bacterial small subunit ribosomal RNA
Source: RNAcentral
GAUGAACGCUAGCGGCAGGCUUAAUACAUGCAAGUCGAGCGGGGCUACGAGUACGUUCGGAUUGUUAAGCUUAGCGGCGAACGGGUGAGUAACACGUAGGUAAUCUACCCUUCAGAGGAGGACAACCUCAGGAAACUGAGGCUAAACCUUCAUACGUUCACUGGUAGGGAUACUGGUGAAGAAAGAGUUACCGUUGAGGUGGCUGCUGAAGGAUGAGCCUGCGGCCCAUCAGGUAGUUGGUGAGGUAACGGCUCACCAAGCCGAAGACGGGUAACCGGUCUGAGAGGAUGUCCGGUCACACUGGGACUGAGACACGGCCCAGACUCCUACGGGAGGCAGCAGCAGGGAAUCUUGGGCAAUGGGCGAAAGCCUGACCCAGCCAUGCCGCGUGAAGGAAGACGGCCUUAUGGGUUGUAAACUUCUUUACUACGCGAAUAGAGGUUAGUACGAGAUACUAAUAGGAAGGUAGUGUAGUAAAAGCACCGGCUAACUCCGUGCCAGCAGCCGCGGUAAAGCUAACG